Molecule: ribosomal RNA, 1296 nt
Filed under: Lactiplantibacillus plantarum
Lineage: Bacteria; Bacillati; Bacillota; Bacilli; Lactobacillales; Lactobacillaceae
Description: bacterial SSU rRNA
Rfam family: Bacterial small subunit ribosomal RNA
Source: RNAcentral
CGAACUCUGGUAUUGAUUGGUGCUUGCAUCAUGAUUUACAUUUGAGUGAGUGGCGAACUGGUGAGUAACACGUGGGAAACCUGCCCAGAAGCGGGGGAUAACACCUGGAAACAGAUGCUAAUACCGCAUAACAACUUGGACCGCAGGUCCGAGCUUGAAAGAUGGCUUCGGCUAUCACUUUUGGAUGGUCCCGCGGCGUAUUAGCUAGAUGGUGGGGUAACGGCUCACCAUGGCAAUGAUACGUAGCCGACCUGAGAGGGUAAUCGGCCACAUUGGGACUGAGACACGGCCCAAACUCCUACGGGAGGCAGCAGUAGGGAAUCUUCCACAAUGGACGAAAGUCUGAUGGAGCAACGCCGCGUGAGUGAAGAAGGGUUUCGGCUCGUAAAACUCUGUUGUUAAAGAAGAACAUAUCUGAGAGUAACUGUUCAGGUAUUGACGGUAUUUAACCAGAAAGCCACGGCUAACUACGUGCCAGCAGCCGCGGUAAUACGUAGGUGGCAAGCGUUGUCCGGAUUUAUUGGGCGUAAAGCGAGCGCAGGCGGUUUUUUAAGUCUGAUGUGAAAGCCUUCGGCUCAACCGAAGAAGUGCAUCGGAAACUGGGAAACUUGAGUGCAGAAGAGGACAGUGGAACUCCAUGUGUAGCGGUGAAAUGCGUAGAUAUAUGGAAGAACACCAGUGGCGAAGGCGGCUGUCUGGUCUGUAACUGACGCUGAGGCUCGAAAGUAUGGGUAGCAAACAGGAUUAGAUACCCUGGUAGUCCAUACCGUAAACGAUGAAUGCUAAGUGUUGGAGGGUUUCCGCCCUUCAGUGCUGCAGCUAACGCAUUAAGCAUUCCGCCUGGGGAGUACGGCCGCAAGGCUGAAACUCAAAGGAAUUGACGGGGGCCCGCACAAGCGGUGGAGCAUGUGGUUUAAUUCGAAGCUACGCGAAGAACCUUACCAGGUCUUGACAUACUAUGCAAAUCUAAGAGAUUAGACGUUCCCUUCGGGGACAUGGAUACAGGUGGUGCAUGGUUGUCGUCAGCUCGUGUCGUGAGAUGUUGGGUUAAGUCCCGCAACGAGCGCAACCCUUAUUAUCAGUUGCCAGCAUUAAGUUGGGCACUCUGGUGAGACUGCCGGUGACAAACCGGAGGAAGGUGGGGAUGACGUCAAAUCAUCAUGCCCCUUAUGACCUGGGCUACACACGUGCUACAAUGGAUGGUACAACGAGUUGCGAACUCGCGAGAGUAAGCUAAUCUCUUAAAGCCAUUCUCAGUUCGGAUUGUAGGCUGCAACUCGCCUACAUGAAGUCGGA